UAGUGGUGACAGUGCUUAUUGUCGCGUAUUCAAUGACAAAGGCUAGGACAGCAACAGAAUGAGAAUUAAUUUGUCUUUCCAGCUACUGCUUUUUAAGGUGCAGUCGCUAGAUGGCGCGCUUCCAGGGAGCUCGUUGUCUGUCGAGCGGCUCAGGACUAUGAAGCUGUGUUCUCUGGGACAGUGGCACCAGCACCAUUGAAAGUCUUCCAAGGUCACUCAAGAUGGACGGAAAACUGAAUCAUCACAGUGCUAGAAAAGCAAGGGGCAGGAAGAAGCUGGACCCCAUGCAUGCCCUGUGUGCUCUUCCGAAAUAGCCCGUGGCAGUUUCAGACCCCAGUCAACAGAUGUCGCUUUACAGACGAACCCUGUUUGUUUGAGAUUGCUUUUCUGUAUCUGGGCUGAAAGUCCUAAUGUAAUAGUUUGCCCUUCCUCUGUUCCUUCUUUUGUAUUGACCACUGUCUGUGCUUACGAAGCAAAGGGGGUGGGGGGUGCUUCCUAGAACCCACUGUCCUAGUCUGGCAGUUGUAGCAUUUAACUAAAAACACCAUUUGAAAAUAUUUAUAAUUUUUAAAAUGAAGCCUUUUACAUAAAUGAUUAAAAACUUUGCAUAUCUUUUUUUUCCCCGUUGUAAACACCAGCGUUUCAAGAACAACAAAGUUUACAACCUAAAGCUGCUAUUCCUUACUUAGAUUAAAAACUGAAUCGCUCUGGAGCUUGUAAGAGGUCUGUCCAGAGCUUAUGUGUUCACACAAGCCUGGAUUCAGUCCCCGGUACUGUACACGAAUCUGUACACUAUGACCAUAGUUUUAAAAAUGAAGCACAAAACCCACCAACAAGGCUGUAGCUCUGUGAAAGAACACUUGGUGAUGUGAGUUAGGCUCUGGGUUCUGUCUCUAACGGUGCAAAAUAAAACUAACUAAAGUAAUUUCAAAUGUAACAAGAGAGAAAACAUCUGGAGUUGUAAACUUCAGCUAUGGCAUGAAAGUAAUUUUCUUUUCCUUUGUAUCGUUCUUAAUUUUCUAUACUUCCUGUAAGCAUGCUAUAUGAUAAAUUAAGAUGACAUUCAUUAUGAUUUCUAUAAUCUGACACUUCUAUUGUUAAAGCCUAAAUGAUAUUCUCACAUUUUUAUAUUCAAAAGCUACUGUUUUCAUUGUCUGUCAUUUAAGGUAACCAAUGUUUCUGUAAGCUUUCUAAACAUCUGAAUGAAAUGACGCAAGCCACAGAGACUGGAAACAUACACAACACUGUAUAAUAAGAUAUUUUUUGGGAGGUGGGCUCUGGAGAGAUGGCUCUUCAUGGGCUGCUCUUCCAAGGACCUGGGUUCGAUUUCCAGUACCCACAUGGUGGCUCACAACCAUCUCCAACUGCAGUCUCAUAGGAUCCCUCUUCUGGUAUGCAGACCACACAGAAAAAAAAUAUGUAUUAAA
This 1427-nucleotide long non-coding RNA is filed under the name Mus pahari (shrew mouse). RNAcentral's name for it is "predicted gene 2109 (MGP_PahariEiJ_G0004291.1)". The record is from RNAcentral. Lineage: Eukaryota; Metazoa; Chordata; Mammalia; Rodentia; Muridae.